This 329-nucleotide unclassified non-coding RNA is filed under the name Hevea brasiliensis (rubber tree). Lineage: Eukaryota; Viridiplantae; Streptophyta; Magnoliopsida; Malpighiales; Euphorbiaceae. The record is from RNAcentral.
AGCUUCACGGGAGCCAAUGAGAAGAAGUCAUAUACAGUCACAUUCACCACCGCGACUGGUUCGGCGGCGCCACCCAACGCGGAAGGGUUCGGUCGAAUUGAGUGGUCGGACGGGAAGCACGUGGUGGGUAGUCCGAUUGCGUUUAGCUGGACAUAGAAAGAGGAGAAUGAAGAAGAUGGGAAUUGUUGAAUUUCCAUGGCUAAUGGGCCCAGAAAAUGGGGUACGUACGAUCGAUCGGACCUGAAAAUCGAAAGUUAAUGUAAUAUUUGUCGAAUUUCCAGCGAGAAAUAGAGCUGGAUUUUAGUGUUUUGUUUCUACUCUACCAUAAA